UUCCUCCUCUUCUAGAAUGUGAGAGGCGACUGUUGUCGGAACACAUUAGCUUUAUUGCUGAGAAUACCAUGAACAGUCUUCCAAGAAGGUAAAAAAAGGCAUUCUUGUAACCAGGACUUGGCUUGCGUAUCUUUUCUCUUUCAGUUUCGUGCGUCCAGUCCAGUCACAGGCCAUCAUCUUCACUGGCUGCUCUGCUGGUCUCUUCCAGAUGCCUGCAAAGCGCAGUGGAGCACUGGCUGUGACUGUGAGGGUCGCUUCUACUACUACUACUCGUCCUUCCAGGUAAAUUCCCGCCCCAUCCUUCAGCCCCCAACGAGUGCACAUUGCCACCCCGUCCUCCCCCCGCUCGUAUGGCACUGCAACUGCCUGCUUUUACACACUCCAUUCCAGAGCAGAAUGUAUGCAGGACGGAUCCAGCUACUUCCGGUUCAAAGGCAAGAAGAUGUGAUGGGGUUGGGGCAUGUGGGGGUGGGUGUGCAUUAUUUGGUCACUUGAUCUUUUCAGUUUGCAGAAAAAAGGUUGUUGAUCCAAGAACAAGGAUAAAUAAAGCCGGCCGACCAUGCACGCAUAUAAAAUUUCUCUGCCGCCGCCGCCGCCGCCGAUGGUUACCUGGAACAUGGAAUCCAGUGCAGGGGAAGCAGAUCGACAAGUGUAAUCGGAUUCUGCCAAUUGUCUAUACAGUUUCUUAGGUAGAACCGAAUGGUCCGGUCCUCAAGCGAAUUUUUAAUCCUGUUGAUUUAUGCUUUUUUGCGGGGGGGAAAGUCUGGAAUUCGUCAGAGCUGAGUUAACGAAUCCUUCUCAGGCCAUAUCUGCGCGUGAUAGAUUGUGCGCGCGCGAAUCGCCAUGGCAGCCCACCAGUCCACCACCAUUCUCUGAUAGGAUCUUCUGAGCUCCUGAUACACUGUUAACGAAUCCUUAUCAUUGCCAAUGAACAGACUUUUAAU
Molecule: long non-coding RNA, 944 nt
Filed under: Zea mays
Lineage: Eukaryota; Viridiplantae; Streptophyta; Magnoliopsida; Poales; Poaceae
Description: long non-coding RNA (ZMAY_LNC002838)
Source: RNAcentral